AAAUAUAUUUUUAGUGUUCGGUGAUCUUGUCGUCUUUGCGAUAGUCUUCGACAUUUUCUGCGCUCUUUUUAUUCGAGAAAAAGAACUGGAGCAGAAUUACAAACGAACGAGAUAUUUGACAUCGAACCUCAGUAAAAUUAAAACUAUAUAAAUUUCUUGUUUCGAAACAAGCAACAGCAAAUCGAUCAAAAUGUUUAAAAGCCAUUUGGAAAUGAUUGGUCGCAAUGAGACCCCCAGCAAGAAGGCGAAAUUCUGGCAAUCUUACAUCAGAUCCUUGAAGGGAUCCGAAGACAUCCGUGCUCAUGAGACACCACGCGUCAGCCGUCCAUACAGCUCGUACUUGGACUCGCCAGCCACAUACAGGAGCAUCUUCGAUGAACCCGCCACUGCCAACGAGCGUGUGCAGUCGCAUGGCUACAGAUACUUGCCAGUGAGCAGAGACACCUAUGGCUACUCGCCACGUGCCAUCUAUGAUCAUCACUACAGCAGAACAAUUCCAGCCAACUACGACGCAGAGAGGGCUUGGAAUGAUCACUUGAAGCGCAUGCAAGAAAUCGAACGCAGAUACCCAUCUCGUUACGGUCUCUACUUGAAGGACAAGCCAUACACACCAAACGCUUUGGUGCCUUUGGAAUACGAGCCAGAGGAUAAGCUGCUCCAAGAACUCAACAAGGCGCGCCGAUCACCAUCACCACGUCCAGGCCGUUGGACUCGUGCUGGCAGUGAACCGUACGUGCCACCACCAACCUACUGGAGCCGCGCACCAAGCGUGUCGCGCGCACCAUCUGCUUUUGAACGCGCACGCAGCUUGGCACCAGCCUUGAUCGAUCGUGCACGCAGCUUGGCACCCAGGCCAUUGUUCCGUGCCAGCUCGUUGGAACCAUUGGAUGAACUCUUUGAUAGUAAGUUAGCUGAUAGAACUUUUGAGCGUGCCGGCUCACCAAGUCCCACUCCCGUUAAGGCUGGCCGCUGGGGACCACGCCCCAAUGAAGUCUCCUAUGAUGCUAAUGGACUUCCCAUCUUCCAUCCACGCAAUCGCUUCAGGGAUUUGUUGAACCCCAAUCCUUAUGCGCCCAUCUCAGCAUUCACACGCGAUCCCUUCUGGUGGGAUGUCGAUGAUUUGGUGCCCCUCCGUGCCCUCUCCGUGCCACGCGCCCUCUCCGUGCCAAGGGGUUCCAGCCCCAUUGCACGCGACUCGUUCUUGUCGCCGGUGAAGAAUCGUUACUUGUGGUCCAAACAUCCAGCUAGACCAUUGACCCCCAGCCUUUAAGUCAAACAAAUUGUUAAUGAAAUACAAAUGCAAUUACUCGUACAUUGUUAUAGAAAUUGCACACCGUACGAUUUUGUAAACACGACGACAAUUUGAAAAAAAAAAUAUAUAUGCGAGCUUUUUUCGCAUUCACGAAAUAAGCAAAACGAAUAAUGAAACGAGGGCCAACUAAGGAAGAAAUCGAAAAUAUACUAAAUUAGUCGACCUUAUCCAAAAAAACGAAAAUUUUUUCAACGCAUACAGAUAAGCACACCCACAACAACAACAACCAGAAAUUUAAGAACAACUCACGGAAACAAAAACUUCAGUGAAUUCAAUGAAAACAAAUCAGAAUGGGUGUACAAUAGCAAUUAAAAAUAAUAAUAAAUAUAACAGCAACAACAACAUUUAUUAUAAAAAUAUUUACGAUUCAGUUUAUUUACUUACAAAAUCUCAUAUUUUGUAUUUUGUAUAGAAAAUGUAUUUAUUUCAAUUUUUUGUGCUGCCAAUGACGACAACUAUGGAAUCUAAUAGAAAUAAAUGAGUAACGCAGUAAAAGUAAAAAAAAAAAUUAAAUUAAAUAAAAAUAAAAAUAAAAUAAAUGAAAAAGACCUGAGUGCAUAUUUCCCGAGAUUUGUUUUUGCCAACAGCAGAAACCGAAUUAAUUUUCAGUUUUUAUUCAUAAUAUUAACUUUUCGAUAAGUAUUGCAAGCAUUAUGUGUAAAAAAUGAUUUACAUUUAUUCUCAGAGCGCGAAGAUGUUUAAUGUUUUAAGAUUACGAGUGUGAGCUCAAUCGAGGCUCUGUGGUCUUAUUAGGUUUAGGCGUUGUAUAAGAAGUAUUGUUCCUUUUUUGUAUAUUUGCGUAAGUCUUAUUUAAAGCUUAAGUUUGGAUAAAUGAAGAAAAUGAAGAUAAAUGAAGAAAACAUUUCGAAGUAAUAUAUUUAUGUUGAAACACAAAAAAUAAUAAAGGCGCACACAAGCACAUUCACACAAUUGUGUGUGCCAUUGAUGAUUUUUUGUCUGUGUGUGUAAUUGUAAAAUUUACAAUUUAUGUUUCGAAGUAAAUCAAAAACAUUUUUUGAAAAAUUUAA
Molecule: unclassified non-coding RNA, 2340 nt
Filed under: Bactrocera tryoni
Lineage: Eukaryota; Metazoa; Arthropoda; Insecta; Diptera; Tephritidae
Description: uncharacterized LOC120766257, transcript variant X5
Source: RNAcentral